GCCCAGUGACUUUCUUAAACGGCCGCGGUAUCCUAACCGUGCAAAGGUAGCAUAAUCACUUGUCCUCUAAAUAGGGACUAGUAUGAACGGUCAAAUGAGGACUUAACUGUCUCUUACAUUCAACCAAUAAAACUGAUCUCUCAGUUAAAAAGCUGGGAUAUAAACAUAAGACGAGAAGACCCUGUGGAGCUUCAAACCAAAUCCAACCCUAAUGGAGUUACGUUUUUAGUUGGGGCGACUUCGGAGUACAAAAAAACCUCCGACAAAACCAUAUCAAGACCAACACGUCAACAUAUUUUCCCACUGACCCGGUAUUUACCAGAAUAUCCGAUCAAUGAACCAAGUUACCCCAGGGAUAACAGCGCCAUCCCCUUCUAGAGUCCCUAUCGACAAGGGGGUUUACGACCUCGAUGUUGGAUCAGGACACCCAAAUAGUGCAGCCGCUAUUAAAGGUUCGUUUGUUCAACGAUUAACAGUCCUACGUGAUCUGAGU
Molecule: ribosomal RNA, 493 nt
Filed under: Pedioplanis inornata
Lineage: Eukaryota; Metazoa; Chordata; Lepidosauria; Squamata; Lacertidae
Description: partial 16S ribosomal RNA
Rfam family: Bacterial large subunit ribosomal RNA
Source: RNAcentral